CCUCGUGUCGCUCAACCGCGCCGACGGCGCGGCGCUCGAGACGCUGCCGCGCGUCGGACCCGCGCUCGCCGGCGCGAUCCUCGCGCACCGCGAGGA
RNAcentral lists this transfer RNA (96 nucleotides) under Agrococcus terreus. RNAcentral describes it as "tRNA-Ser". Lineage: Bacteria; Bacillati; Actinomycetota; Actinomycetes; Micrococcales; Microbacteriaceae. The record is from RNAcentral.